This 10201-nucleotide long non-coding RNA is filed under the name Fragaria vesca (wild strawberry). RNAcentral's name for it is "long non-coding RNA (FVES_LNC003427)". The record is from RNAcentral. Lineage: Eukaryota; Viridiplantae; Streptophyta; Magnoliopsida; Rosales; Rosaceae.
AAACAAAAGAUGCUACAAAACAAAUCAUUCUACUGCCUUUCGUAUAGAGAGCAAAUAAGAACAAACGAUUGUAAAUGAUAGCAUUCUCAGUACAUCCAUUCAAGCUCACUUAACAAAGCAAGCCUAUAAUCUAAGGAAAUAGGAGCAAAGAUUAUACGCAAUUCUAAAAUAGUAGAAACAUAGAGUGUUCAUGACGGGUUAAGGCGGGUCAAGGUGGCCCCAUGCGCGUCUAGGCGGGUUAAGGCGGGUCAAGGCGAUCAAGGCGGGUUAAAGCGGGUCACGACGGCCCCAGCCGGGUCAAGACGGCACCUUGGGGACCCUAGAUGGGUCAAGGCGACCAAAGGCGGGUCAAGGCGGCCCAGGCGGGUUAAGAAGGGUCAAGGUGGCCCAAGGUGGCUCAAGGUGGGUCAAGGCGGGUCAAGGCGGUCCAAGCCGGGUCAAGACGGUCCAAGACGGGCCAAAGAGGGUCAAGGCGGGUCAAGGCUGGUCAAGGUGGGUUAAGGUGGGUCAAGGCGGCCCCAGCCGAGUUAAGGCGGCACCUUGGGGCCCUAGAUGGGUCAAGGCGGCUUAUUGGCGGGUCAAGGAGGGUCAAGGCGGCCGAAGGCGGGUUAAGGCGGGUCAAGCCAGCCCAAGGCGGGUUAAGGAGGGUCAAGACGACCCAAGGUGGGUGAAGGCGGGUUAAGGAGGGCCGAGGAGGGUUAAGAAGGGUCAAGGCAGGUCAAGGCGGUCCAAAGCGGGGCAAGGCUGUCCAAGGCGGUCCAAGGCGGGUUAAGGUGGGCCAAGACGGGUUAAAGCAGGCCUAGGCGGGUCAAGGCUGGUCAAGGUGAGUUAAGGCGGGUCAAGGCGGGUUAAGGCGGGUCAAGACGAGCCAAGGCGGAUCAAGGCGAGUCAAAGUGGGUUAAGGCUUCCCAAGACGGGUUAAGGCAGCCCCUUGGCGGUCCUAAGCGGAACAAGGCGGCCCCUUGGCGGCCAUAGACGGGUGAACGCGGCCUUUAGGCGGCCCCAACUGCCCUUGGAGGCCCUAGAUGGGUCAAGGCGUCCCAAGGCGGGUCAAGGCGCCCCUAGAUGGGCCUAGGAGGGUUAUGACGGCCCAAGGCGACCUCUUGGCUGCCCUAGGAGGGUUAAGGUAGCCCCUUAGCAGGUCAAGACAGCCCUUUGGCGGCUUGAGACGGGUGAACGCGGCCCUUUGGUGGCCGAAGGUGGGUUAAGGCGGGUCAAGGCGGCCCUAUGCGGCUUUAAGAGGGUCAAGGCAGCCCCUUAGAGGGUCAUGGCGGCCCUAGCGGGAUUAAGGAUGCCCCUUGGCGGUCCUAGUAGGGUCAAGGCGGCCUAAGACGGGUCAAGACGGCCCAUGGCAGGUCAAGGAGGGUCAAGGCAGCCCUAAGCGGUUUAAGGCGGCCCCUUAGCAGCCGUACGCAACCCCUUCGCAGCCCUAGGAGGGUCAUGGCAGCCCCUUGGCUGCCCUAAGCGGGGAUACAAGGGCAUAGGAUGGUCAAGGCGGCCCAAAGCGGGUCAUGGCGGGUCUAGGCGGUUCUACGAGGGUCAAGGUAGCCCCUUGGAGGGUCAAUGCGGCCCCUUGGAAGGUCAAGGCGGCCCCUUGGUGGCCUUAGAUGGGUGAAAGCGGCUCCUUGGCGGCCCAAGGAGGGUCAAGGCGGAUUAAGACGGGUCAAGGCGGCUCUAGGAGAGUCAAGGGGGCCCAAGGUGGGUCAAGGUGGCCCACGGCGGGCCAAUGAUGGUCAAGGCGUCCCCUUGACUCCCCUAGGCGAGCCUAGGAGGGCCUAGGUGGGUUAAGAUGGUUUAAGGCAGGCCAAGACGGGUGAAGGCCGGUCAAGGCGGGUUAAGGCGGGUCAAGGCAGCCGAAAGAGGGUUAAGGCAAUCCAAGGCGGGUUAAGGCGGGCCAAAGUGGGUUAAGGCGGGCAUAGGCGGGUCAAGGCUAGUCAAGGUGGGUUAAGGCGGCCCCAAGCGGGUUAAGGCGGGUCAANNNNNNNNNNNNNNNNNNNNAAGGUGAAGGCUGCCCAAGGCGAGUCAUGGCUGCCCAAAGCAGCCUAAGGCGGGUCAAGGCUGCCCAAGGCGAGUCAUGGCGGGUCAAGGCGACCCCUUGGCUGCCUUAGGCGAGCCUAGGAGUGUCAAGGCGACCCAAGGUGGUGUAGGAGGGUCAAGGCAGCCCCUUGCCGGGUCAAGGCGGCCCCUUGGCGGCCUUAGACCGGUGAACGCAUCCCUUUAGCGGGUCAAGGUGGGUCAAGGAGGGUGAAGGGGGUCCAAGGAGGGUAAAGGCGGGCCAAGGUGGGUAAAGGCGGGCCAAGGUGGGUCAAGGCUGGUCAAGGCGGGUCAAGGAGGGUGAAGGCGGCCCAAGGUGGGUGAAGGCGGCUCAAGACGGGUCAAGGCGGGUUAAGGCUGGCCAACGCAGGGUAAGGCUGGCCAACGCAGGGUAAGGCGGGUCAUGCCGGGUCAAGGUGGUCUUCGUGGCCCUAGGAGGGUCAAGGCGGCCCAUGACGGGCCAAUGCGGGUCAAGACGGGCCAUGGCGGGUCAAGGCAUGUUAAGGCGGGUCAAGGAUGCACAAGGCGGGUUAAGGCAGUCCAAGGCGAGUCAAGGUAGGCCUAGGCGGGUCAAGGCUAGUUAAGGUGGGUCAAGGCGGGUCAAGGCGGCCCCAGGUGGGGGGCGGGCCGUCGCGGGUCAAGGCGAGUCAUGGCGGGCCAAGGCGAGCCAAUGCCGCUCAAGGCAGCUCUAGUGUAACACCCUGACCCAGGUGUUAGAAGAAUAAACGAAUAAAAUAACUAAGGAAAACCUAAAUCGAAACAGAGGUAGGAUCUCAAAACAAACAAAAGGUUUGUUGUGUUUGAAAUCUAAAUUUAUUUUGUUAAUUUGCAGCUGCACCCAAAACUUGAUCGAGCUGCCUAUAUACCCUUUUAAAGGGAUCAAGCCACUCGUAGUUCAUCAUUUUAAUCUACUUCUCUACCUACACUAACAACAUCACAUUUACCACUAUAAGUCCAAAAUCAAAACCCUACUUACGGCCUCCCAAGAACCAUUUCAUGAUACACACCAAAAUUUAAUAUGUUUUCUUCUAUACCCAUUAAAUCAAAUCAACCCGGCCAUACAAAGCCUCAUGCAUCAUCAAAACUAUAUCAAUUUAUUAUCAUUCUAAUAUAAAGUUUCAGGAGAAUAAUAUAAAGUCCCAAGUUUACUAAACAUUCUAACUAGAUUUACUAAGAACACCCAUUAGAUAUACUAUGGACACCCAUUCAACUAAAUCCAAUCCCAAAUCCAUACAUAACACUCCAAUAUCCACUUCAAUGCAUAAGCACAAUCCAACUAUAACUCAAUAGUUAAUAUUCAUCCUAAACAUAGACCAAACCCAGAAACCAUAACUACAACUACCGCCGCCGCCACCGUGAACAGUGGCCACCCACGGUGGUCACACUGCCCAGAACACCACAUUCUCCAAACUCCACCAAUAUUGACUUCAAGCAUCUCAACCUACUCCUUCAAUUCCAUACACUAAUUCAAAAGUCAGAAACUACAAAAACAAUCGCCACCAAUGUCGUGCACAGCAGCACACACGGCAGUCCUCCACAACCAAAAAUCCAACUUUUUCAUCUCUCAACCAAACACGAAUUCAAUUAUACAAAAGGUACAGCUCAAAGAGAAAAUCAACUUUGAUACCUGAGUCUACGCCAAAGCUCACCGGAAUCCGUCGAACUCUCGCCGGAAAAUUUAAAAACUUCUCCUCUUCUAUUCUCCCUCACCUGACCUUGUCUCGACAAGCUGAAGUCACAGGGAUGUCGAGGAUGAGGAGAGGAAACUAUCCACACCGGUGAGAUACCACGACUUGGCCGGAAUCGUAAACUCGCCGGCGAACCCAGCCUCUCCUUCUCCACUUUGAAUCUCUCUCUCUCAACCUCUUCUGAAGAAGCUGAGGACAUAGAGAAGGCCACGAGGACGAGAGGAAGCUUCCGCUACCAUUCUUCCUCCUCGCUGUCGCCGGAAUCGGAAGUUGGCCGAUAAAUUUAGAAAUUGUUCUCUCCUUCUUUUCUCUCUCGCCGGAGCUCCUCUUCGAAAACAAAGGACAUCUUGAGGACGGGGACGGCGAGACGGAGCUGUAGCCACCAGUUGGAGGCCGAGAGGUGGCCGGACGACGGAAAACGAUCGACGCUCCGUCGAUGCAGAGAGACCGGAGAUAGAGACGAAGUCUGUCUCUCCCGAAAAUAAAUCGAAGGUUCUAAAAGCUUCCCCCCUUCUCUCCAGAUUCUUCCCCCAAAAAUAUCUACCUCCCUUUCUUUUUCUCUCUUCUUUUUUUAUACCCUUUACUGAAAUAGUAAUUUUCUGUUUUUAGACCAUAAUUUUCUCAUACGAACUCCGAUUUGAGCGUGCCACGUGUCCACGAACUCGUAUUAACGUCCUCUACGACUUCCAUGAAGGAAGUUCUCCCAAAUUAUCAACUUAACAAAAAGUCAAAUUUUUAGGUCCUUUACGGUAAAACGGUUACAAGAAACAAUAAUUGAAAAUUUACUGUAAACUUCAUAAAUUCACAAAACAUAACUCAUCGCUUCGGAAAAUAAUCCGGACAUACCGGUGAGCUCAUAUAAACGUGUACCACGACUUCGGACUUUUAAAUCCACUAUUUACCCAUUUUCAGAAAAGCUCGAAAACAACCUCGAGCAAUCACUAUUUAAAUCUCUGAGCGCAAAUAAAGAAAAAUCUGCGGUAACUCGUAAUCCCAAACAGUAACCUUUUAGGUACGGGGUAUUAUAUCUAGGCAUGCAGGUCAAGGCGGCCGCUUGGCGGCAUUAGGUGGGUCAAGCGGCCUUAAGUGGGACAAGGCGACCACUUGGCGUCCUUAGACAGGUGAACGCGGCCCUUUGGCGGCCCCAGCUGGGUCAAGACGGCCCCUAGAUGGGUCAAGACGGCCUAUUGGUGGCUUUAGAAGGGUCAAGGCGGUCCAAGGUGGGUUAAGGCGGCCCAAGGCAGUUCAAUGCGGGUCAAGGCGGGCCUAUGAGGGCCUAGGAAGGUCAAUGCGAGUCAUGGCGUCCCUAGGCGAGUCAAGGCGGUAGCUUGGAGGGUCAACGCAGCUUUAGGCGGUUCUGGGAGGGUCAAGGCGGCCCAAGGGGGGUUAAGGCCGGUCAAGGCGCCCCAUGGCGGGCCAAUGCUGGUCAAGACGGCCCCUUUGCUACCCUAAGCGAGCCUAGGAGGGUAAAGGCGGCCAUGGCGGGCCAAGGCGGCCGAAGGCGGAUCAAGGCGGCCCAUGAGUGAGCCUUGGAUGGCCUAAGAGGGUCAUGGCGGCCAAAGGCGGGUUAAACGGGUAAAGGCGGCCCAAAGCGGGUCAAGGCAAGUCAAGGCGGCCCUUUAGCGGCUUUAGACGGGUGAACGCGGCCCAUUGGCAGCUCCAGCCGGGUCAAGGCGGCCUAUUGCAAUCCCAAGGCGAGUUAAGGCAGGUCAAAGAAGCCUAAGGCGGGUGAAGGCGAUCCAAGGCAAGUCAUGGCAGGUCAAGACGACCCAAGGCGGGUCUAGGAGGGUCAAGGCAGCCCCUUGUCGGGUUAAGGCGGCCCCUUGGCGGCCUUAGACGAGUGAACGCAUCCCCUUGGCGGGUCAAGGCAGCCCCUUAGUGUCCCUAGGAGGGUCAAGGUGGCCCUAAGCGGGUCAUGGCGGCCCAAGACGGGUUAAGGCGGCCCAAGACAGGUUAAGGAGGGUUAAGGCGGCCCAAAGCGGGUCAAGGCGGGUUAAGACGGGCUAAAGCGGGUUAAAGAGGGUCAAGGCAGCCCAAGGUGUGUUAAGGUGGGUCAAGGCGGGUCAAGGCGGCCGAAGGCGGUCUAAGGAGGGUCAAGGCGGGCCAAAGUGGGUCAAGGCGGGCCAAGGAGGGUGAAGACGGCCAAGGUGGGUGAAGGCGGCUCAAGAUGGGUCAAGGCGAGUUAAGACGGGCCAAGGCAGGUUAAGGAGGGUCAAGGAGGGUUAAGGUGGUCUUCGUGGCCCUAGGAGGGUCAAGACGGCCCCUUGGCUGGUCAAGGCAUGUUAAGGCGGCUCAAGGCAGGUUAAGGCAGUCCAAGGCGGGUCAAGACAUGCCUAGGCGGGUCAAGGCUGGUCAAGGUGGGUUAAGGCGGGUCAAGGCGGCCCAUUGGCGGCCCUAAGCGGGAUAAGGAGGCCCUAGGCCGUUUAAGGCGACCCCUUGGCAGCCAUGGACAGGUGAACGCUGCUUAGGCGGGUCAAGGCUGGUCAAGGUGGGUUAAGGCGGGUCAAGGCGGCCCCAGGCGGGUAAGGCGGCCCAAGGCGGGUCAAGGUGAGCCAAGGCGGGUCAAGGCCGACCAAGUUGGGUCAAGUCAGUCAAGGUGGGUAAAGCGGGUAAAGGCGGCCCAAGGCAGGUUAAGGCGGGUCAAGGCGGCCCAAUGUGGGCUAAUGCGAGUCAAGGCGGCCUUAAGCGGGUCAAGGCAGCCCCUUAGCGGCCCUACACAUCCCCUUUGCGGCCCUAAGCAAGGUCAUGGCGGCCCAUUUGCUGCCCUAAGCAGGGGCCUAAGAUGGUCAAGGCAAGUCUACGCGGUUCUACGAGGAUCAAGAUAGCCCCUUAGAGGGUCAAGACGGCCCCUUGGUGGCCUUUGACGAGUGAACGCGGCCCCUUAGCGGCCCAAUGAGGGCUAAGGCGGGUGAAGGCGGCUCUAGGCGGGUCAAGGUGGUCUUCGCGGCCUUGGGACAGUCAAGGCAGCCAAGGAGGGUCAAGGCGGAUCAAAGCGGGUCUAGGAGGCCCCAUAGUGGCCCUAGACGUGUCAUUGCGGGUCAAGGCGGCCCUAGGAAGGUCAAGGCCGCCCAAGGCGGGUCAAGGUGGCCCUAGGAGGGCCCAGAAGGGUCAAGGCGGGUUAAGACGAGCCUAGGAGGGCCCAGGAGGGUCAAGGCGGGCCAUGGUGGGUCAAGGCGGCCCCUUGGCUCCCCUAGGCAAGCCUAGGAGGGCCUAGGAGGGUCAAGGCGCCCAAGGUGGGUUAAGCCAGGUCAAGGUGGCCUAAGGCGGCUGAAGGUGGGUCAAGGCAAUCCAAGACGGGCCAAGGUGGGUUAAGGCGGGCCUAGGCGGGUCAAGGCUGGUCAAGAUGGGUUAAGGCAGGUCCAGGCAGCCCCAGGAGGGUUAAGGCGGCCCAAGGCGGGUUAAGGCGACCCUAAACGGGACAAGGCGGUCCUAAGCGGGACAGGGCGGCCCUAACUAGGCCGUUCAAGGCAGCCCCUUGGCGGCCAUAGACAGGUGAACGCGACCCUUUGGCGGCCCCAGCUGGGUCAAGGCGACCCCUUAGAGACCCUAGAUGGGUCAAGGCUGUCCAAGGCGGCCAAGGAGGUCUAAGGCGGUCCAAGGCGGGUCAAGGCAACCCCUUAACGGGUCAAGACGGCCCCUUGGCGACCUUAAAAGGAGAACGCGGCCCCUUGGCGGUCCUAGCGGAGUCAAUGCAGCCCUUGAUCGCCCUAGACGGGUCAAGGCGACCCCUUUGGCUACCCUAGGAGGGUCAAGGUGGGAUUAGGCAGGUCAAAGGGGCACCCUGGCUGCCCUAGGCUAGUCUUAGAGGGUGAAGGCGGGUCGAGGAGGCCCAAGGCUGGUCAAAGUAGGUUAAGGCGGGCCUAGGCGAGUUAAGGCGAGCCAAGGUAGGUUAAGGCGUGACAAGGUGGGUUAAGGCGGGCCUAGGCGGGCCUAGGCGGGUCAAGGCGGGUUAUGGCGGGUCAAGACGGCCCCAGGCGGGUUAAGACGAGCCAAGGCGGGUUAAGGCCGGCCAAGGCGGGUCAAGGCUAUUUAAGGUGGGUAAAGGCGGGUAAAGGCGAGUUAAGGCGGGUCAAGGCGGGUCAUGCUUAGAUAGGCCCAUGACGAGCCACUUCUUAACGGGCCUGGGCUUGGGCCGGCCCAUUUACUCAAACAUAAGGCCAUACCCUAAGCCGGUCAAGGCGGCCCCUUCGCGGCCCUAGAAGGUCAUGGCAGCCCCUUAGCUGCUCUAGGAGGGUGAAAGCGGCCCAAAGAGGGUUUAGGCGGCUCAGGGCGGGUCAAGGAGGCCCCUUGGUGGCCUUAGACGGGUGUACGCGGUCCCUUGGCGGCCCUAGCGGGGUUAAGGCGGCCUCUUGAUGGCCCUAGAAGGGUCAAGGUGGCCUCUUGGCUGCCUACGAGGGUCAAGGCUGGUUAAGCGGGCCCUGGCGAGUUAAGGCAGGUUAAAGCCGCCCCAUGGCUGGUCAAGGCAACCCUAGGCAGGUCAAGGCGGCCUCUUCGCGACCCUAGGAGGGUUAUGGCGGCCCCUUGGCUAUCCUAGGCGGGCCUAAGAGGGUGAACGCGGCCCCUUGGCGGGUCUAAGGCGGGUCAAGAUGACCCUGGACGGUUCUAGGAGGGUCAAGGCUGCCCUUUGGUGGCCUUAGAGGGGUGAACACGGCCCCUUGGAGGCCCUAGGAGGGUCAAGGAGGGUCUUGGCGGCCCUUUGAUGGGUCAAGGAGGGUCAAGGAGGGUUAAGACGGGUCAAGGCCAGUCAAGGCGGCCAAAGGUGGUCCAAGGCGGGUCAAGGAGGGUCUUGGCGGCCCCAAGAGGUCAAGGCGGCCCCUUAGUGGCCCUAGAAGGGUAAAGGCGACCUCUUGGCUGUCCUAGGAGGGUCAAGGCGGGUCAAGACCCCUUGCUGCCUUAGGCGAGCCUACAAGGGUCAAGGCGGAUAAAAGCGGCCUUUAGGGAGGUCAAAACGGCCAAUGGCAGGGUCAAGGUGGCCCAAGACGAGUUAAGGCGGGUCAAGACAGGUAAAGAUGGGUCAAGGCGGCUCAAGGUGUCCCAAGGCGGGUCAAGGCGGUCCAAGGCGACCCCUUGGCAGGUCAAAACGGCCCUAGGCGGGUCUCGACAGGCCUUAGGGAGGUCAAGGCAGGUCAAGAAGGGUCUUGGCGGCCCUAUGAGGGUCAAGGCGGAUCAAGGCAGCCUCUUAGUGGCCCUAGACGGGCCAAGGCGGCCUCUUGGCUGCCCUAGGAGGGUCAAGGCGGCCCCUUGGUGUCCCUAGAUGGGUCAAGGUGGCCCCUUGGCGGCCCUCGACGGGUUAAGGCAUCCCCAUGGCGGCUCUAGGCAGGUCAAGGUGGCUCUAGGAGGGUCUAGGCGGACCAAGGAGGCCCCUUGGCGACCUUAGACAAGUUAAGGCAUCCACAUGGAUGCCCACGGUGGGCCAAUGCGGGUCAAAACGACCCCUUGGCUACCCUACGCGAGCCUAGGAGGGCCUAAGAGGGUUAAGGCGGUUCAAGGCUGGCCGUGGCCGGUUAAGGCGGCCCAAGGCGGGUGAUGGCGGGCCAAGGUGAGCUAAUGCGGGUCAAGGCAGCUCUAGGCGGGUCAAGGCGGCCGCUUGGCGGCACUAGAUGGGUUAAGCGGCCCUAAGCGGGACAAAACGGCCCCUUGGCGUCCUUAGAUGGGUGAACGUGGCCCCAGUUGGGUCAAGGCGGCCCCUAGAUGGGUCAAGCCGACCUAUUGGUGGCCUUAGAAUGGUCAAGGCGGGUUAAGGCAGUCCAAAGCGGGUUAAUACGGCCCUAGGUGGCCCCGUGGCUACCCUAGGCGAGCCUUGGAAGGCCUAGAAGGGUCAAGGCGGCCCUACACGGGCCUAGGAGGGUCAAGGUAAGUCAACGCGGGCCAUGGUGGGUCAAGGCGGCCCAAGGCAGGUCCAAGGCAGGUUAAGACGGCCCCAUGACGGCCCUAAGUGGGUCAAGACAGCCCUAGGCAGCCCCUUCGCAGCCCUAAGAGGGUCAUAGCGGCCCUUUGGCUGCCCUAGGCGGGCCUACGAGGGCCUAGGAGGGUCAAGCGUCCCAUGGCUGGUCAAAGCGGGUCAUGGCAGCCCUAGGCGGGUCAAGGCGGCCCUAGGCGGUUCUAGGAGGGUCAAGGCGGCCCAAAGGGGGUUAAGGUGGGUCAAGGCGACCCACGGCGGGCUAAUGCUAGUCAAGGUGGUCCAAGGCGGCCAAGGCUGGUCAAGGAGGCCCUAGGUGGAUCAAGGUGGCCCCUUGGCUGCCCUAGGUGAGCCUUGGAGGGCCUAGGAGGGUAAUGGUGGCCAAAGGCGAGUUAAGGAGGGUCAAGGCGGCCUUAGACGGGUGAACGCGGCCCAUUGGCGGCCCUAGCCGGGUCAAGGCGGCUCCUUGGGAGCCCUAGAUGGGUCAAGGAGGCCUAUUGGCGGCCUAGGCGGCCCAAGGCGAGUUAAGGCAGGUCAAAGCAACCUAAGGCGGGUCUAAGCGGGUCAAGGCGGCCCCAUG